RNAcentral lists this ribosomal RNA (303 nucleotides) under Triticum aestivum (bread wheat). RNAcentral's name for it is "partial small subunit ribosomal RNA". Lineage: Eukaryota; Viridiplantae; Streptophyta; Magnoliopsida; Poales; Poaceae. The record is from RNAcentral.
AUGGUUAAUGAAGGUACUAUCAUGGGGCGUAAAAUUUCUGAAAGAGGAAUUGAAGUUGAUAAAGCUAAAGUUGAUGCUAUUGAAAAGAUGUCGUGUCCCAAGGACAUCAAAGGUAUAAGAAGUUUCCUUGGUCAUGCUGGUUUUUAUAUGAGGUUCAUCAAGGACUUCUCAAAAUUUUAUCGGCCUCUGACUAACCUAUUACAAAAAGAUAUUCCUUUUGUCUUUGAUGACGAUUGUGUAGAAGCAUUUGAAAUACUUAAGAAAGCUUUGAUUUCUGCACCUAUUGUUCAACCACCUGAUUGA